AGUGAACGCUGGCGGUAGGCCUAACACAUGCAAGUCGAACGGCAGCACAGUAAGAGCUUGCUCUUACGGGUGGCGAGUGGCGGACGGGUGAGGAAUACAUCGGAAUCUACUUUUUCGUGGGGGAUAACGUAGGGAAACUUACGCUAAUACCGCAUACGACAUACGGGUGAAAGUAGGGGAUCUUCGGACCUUGCGCGAUUGAAUGAGCCGAUGUCGGAUUAGCUAGUUGGCGGGGUAAAGGCCCACCAAGGCGACGAUCCGUAGCUGGUCUGAGAGGAUGAUCAGCCACACUGGAACUGAGACACGGUCCAGACUCCUACGGGAGGCAGCAGUGGGGAAUAUUGGACAAUGGGCGCAAGCCUGAUCCAGCCAUACCGCGUGGGUGAAGAAGGCCUUCGGGUUGUAAAGCCCUUUUGUUGGGAAAGAAAAGCAGCAGGUUAAUACCCCGCUGUUCUGACGGUACCCAAAGAAUAAGCACCGGCUAACUUCGUG
This 492-nucleotide ribosomal RNA is filed under the name uncultured bacterium. RNAcentral's name for it is "partial 16S ribosomal RNA". It matches the Rfam family "Bacterial small subunit ribosomal RNA", at positions 29 to 507 of the family's 1533-position model. The record is from RNAcentral.